AGCACCUCGGAGCUCCGACCCCCAAGUUCUCCUCCACAGCCACGGCCUGCGUUGCACCCCGGCUCACCUUUUCGUCCCACCCACCACCACCCCCCCUCGCCGUUCAGUGCUGUCCUGGGCGCUUGCAACCUGCCGGGUGAUUUAGCAGACUGCCCCCUGCUCCUGCUCUGGUUCCUGCUCCUGCUCCUGCUCCUGCUCCUGCUCCUGCUCCUCCUCCUCCUCCUCCUCCCAGCUCUCGCUCUCGCCUCCUCCUCCAGUCGGGGCGCCCAGACUUCGCGGAGCGCAGCGCCCGCCGCCCGCAGCGCGCAGGACCGCCCAGGCCGCCGCGCUCCAGGCUCCUGCUGGCCGCAGCCCGGGGGCACCGGCGCGGGCAAAGGACGCUCGGGGGCCAGAGCCAGACGCUGCGAGAAGCCGGGCUGUGAUAAGGCUCGGGACAGAAGCGAGCGCGUUCCGAGUGAGACUUCGGGAGCCAGCGGGGCGCCCCGGGUCACCCAGUGCGCCCGCUGCACGCACCGUCCACAAGCAAGUAAACAUAUCACUUGAACCACUGAAAGAGGAUGGAAGGCAAGAAUUCCUAUGAACAUAUGUGAUCCCUUGAUGCAGAACUUCUCACAAGAAAGGAGAAAGGGCAUAUAUACCAGCUGUCUUGGAAGGAGCUUUUUAAAUAAUCAUAAAGGCGUGUGUGUGUGUGUGUGUGUGUGUGUGUGUGUGUGUAAUGCUUGAAACAGACUUUGCCUUUGCCAUAACUGCUCCUUCUAUGAUUGGACCUGCAUGACAGCUAAAAUAGAAGAACUAUCAUCAAAAACCUCUCCUUAAUAUCUCUGCGUAUUCAAUUAAGUAACAUGGUACCCUACAAAGGGAUUUUAUGCUGUACACCUUUGAUGAGAGGCUGGCUGAAACUUGGCAGCUUGAAGAACCUCUCAGAAGAGAUUCUACUGGGGAAACCCCUGCUCUCACAUCAGACACAGCAAUUUCUGAGCUGGAGAUGCUGCCCCUGACCUAAUAAUUCAUUGCAUCUUUACCUUCAAUCCUGGGGCUGCUGCUCCCAGCUUUACCACAACUGUAUUUAGUAAACUGCUACCAAGAGCCACUCCACAAAAUUUCUAUGGUCCAGAAAGGACAAAAUUACACUGUUUUCUGCAUCUAUCCCAGCUCCACUCCUGAGUACUAUUUUGUUUUUUCUCUCACAGUUUAUUCACCUUUCAGAAAUAGUUUUUGUAUCUGCAAAAGCAUCAUUAUGAAAGAAACAAAAUCUUUUAAGAAAAUAUCACUAGUUUUUUGGCCUUUGUUUUAUCGAUAUUGUGUAGAGUUCUUAUUCUAAUUCUGCAGUUUGCUUCUGUUGAUUGUAAUCUGAUGUUCUCCCCUCACUGUCCUUAUCACCUAAAGUAACUUCUUUGAUUGCUCUGCAUUUCAGUUGUGCCAUGUCUAAAAUGUGAAUGACAAUUCCUGCCUUAUAGACCUAUUGUGAGGAGUAAAGAAAAGGUAGUACAACAUAAGCCGUGAAGAAUGAUAGGCGGUAUUACAAUCAUCAUUAUUAUUCUUGUGUGGGGUGUUGUGCAAAUAAUCCUGACCUAAACUGAGGUGAAGAAUGUGGUCCUGGCCUUGGAGAAAAUAAAGAGAGAUGGGUCCAGGCCA
This is a long non-coding RNA of Vulpes vulpes (red fox), 1635 nucleotides long. NCBI's taxonomy places the organism in Eukaryota, Metazoa, Chordata, Mammalia, Carnivora, Canidae. The record is from Ensembl.